UCCUGAUACUAUCAGUCGGUAGAGCACCAGACUCUUAAUCUGGCUGUCGCGGGUUCGUGCCCCGCAUCGGGCU
This 73-nucleotide transfer RNA is filed under the name Gongylonema pulchrum. It matches the Rfam family "tRNA". From Rfam's summary of the family: Transfer RNA (tRNA) molecules are approximately 80 nucleotides in length. Their secondary structure includes four short double-helical elements and three loops (D, anti-codon, and T loops). Further hydrogen bonds mediate the characteristic L-shaped molecular structure. tRNAs have two regions of fundamental functional importance: the anti-codon, which is responsible for specific mRNA codon recognition, and the 3' end, to which the tRNAs corresponding amino acid is attached (by aminoacyl-tRNA synthetases). tRNAs cope with the degeneracy of the genetic code in two manners: having more than one tRNA (with a specific anti-codon) for a particular amino acid; and 'wobble' base-pairing, i.e. permitting non-standard base-pairing at the 3rd anti-codon position. The record is from Rfam by way of RNAcentral. Lineage: Eukaryota; Metazoa; Nematoda; Chromadorea; Rhabditida; Gongylonematidae.